UCAAACUUGGUCAUUUAGAGGAAGUAAAAGUCGUAACAAGGUUUCCGUAGGUGAACCUGCGGAAGGAUCAUUAUUGAAAUAGGUUGAGGGGUUGUUGCUGGCUUUAGUUUUCUGAAGUAAUGUGCACACCCUUCUAACUCUUUCUCUAUCAACCACCUGUGCAUUUUUUGUAGACUUUUAAGGAAUUAUGAGGAUCUGCGCCCCAGCUGUCCUUGCUAAUAUUUCCUUUGGGUCUAUGUGUGUUAUUACCUUUACACCUAUCCUUUGAAUGUAUUUUGUGGGAUUAUAAUAUCAUUAUUAUAUAUACAACUUUCAACAACGGAUCUCUUGGCUCUCGCAUCGAUGAAGAACGCAGC
Molecule: unclassified non-coding RNA, 356 nt
Filed under: uncultured fungus
Lineage: Eukaryota; Fungi
Description: partial contains small subunit ribosomal RNA, internal transcribed spacer 1, and 5.8S ribosomal RNA
Rfam family: Eukaryotic small subunit ribosomal RNA (bases 1-73)
Source: RNAcentral